Molecule: non-coding RNA, 99 nt
Organism: Asterophora parasitica
Lineage: Eukaryota; Fungi; Basidiomycota; Agaricomycetes; Agaricales; Lyophyllaceae
Source: the annotation of a GenBank genome assembly
GCCGCAUUGGCGCAGUCGCAGCGCAUCUCGCUUGUAUACAUGUGGCGUAGUUGCAAAUGUGCAGUGAAAGGGACACUCGUUCGAUCCGGGUACGCGGCA